GGCAUGGAAGACAAAUGCAAAAGUAAGUUCUCUUUGGCAAUCUAAAACUCAUUGUUCAGUAUGAGUUUUGAUACAUGCAAAAAGGAAGAUG
This 91-nucleotide small nucleolar RNA is filed under the name Meriones unguiculatus (Mongolian gerbil). RNAcentral's name for it is "Small nucleolar RNA SNORA40 (ENSMUGG00000009293.1)". It matches the Rfam family "Small nucleolar RNA SNORA40". From Rfam's summary of the family: The snoRNA ACA 40 belongs to the H/ACA family of snoRNAs and guides the pseudouridylation of 28S rRNA subunit at position U4565. NB This family has a high threshold value to exclude a large number of closely related sequences that do not appear to have conserved H and ACA boxes, and may be pseudogenes. The record is from RNAcentral. Lineage: Eukaryota; Metazoa; Chordata; Mammalia; Rodentia; Muridae.